This 253-nucleotide ribosomal RNA is filed under the name uncultured bacterium. Its description in RNAcentral is "partial 16S ribosomal RNA". It matches the Rfam family "Bacterial small subunit ribosomal RNA", at positions 524 to 776 of the family's 1533-position model. The record is from RNAcentral.
UACGUAGGGGGCAAGCGUUGUCCGGAUUCAUUGGGCGUAAAGAGCGUGUAGGCGGCCAGGUAGGUCGGUUGUGAAAACUGGAGGCUCAACCUUCAGAGGUCGACCGAAACCAUCUGGCUAGAGUCCGGGAGAGGAGAGUGGAAUUCCUGGUGUAGCGGUGAGAUGCGCAGAUAUCAGGAAGAACACCCGUGGCUAAGGCGGCUCUCUAGUACGGUACUGACGCUGAGACGCGAAAGCGUGGGGAGCGAACAGG